AACGAACGCUGGCGGCAUGCCUAACACAUGCCAGUCGAACGAGACCUUCGGGUCUAGUGGCGCACGGGUGCGUAACGCGUGGGAACCUGCCCUUAGGUUCGGAAUAACUCCCCGAAAGGGGUGCUAAUACCGGAUAAUGUCUUCGGACCAAAGAUUUAUCGCCUUUGGAUGGGCCCGCGUUGGAUUAGCUAGUUGGUAGGGUAAAAGCCUACCAAGGCGACGAUCCAUAGCUGGUCUGAGAGGAUGAUCAGCCACACUGGGACUGAGACACGGCCCAGACUCCUACGGGAGGCAGCAGUGGGGAAUAUUGGACAAUGGGCGAAAGCCUGAUCCAGCAAUGCCGCGUUAGUGAUGAAGGCCUUAGGGUUGUAAAGCUCUUUUACCCGGGAUGAUAAUGACAGUACCGGGAGAAUAAGCUCCGGCUAACUCCGUG
RNAcentral lists this ribosomal RNA (433 nucleotides) under uncultured bacterium. Its description in RNAcentral is "partial 16S ribosomal RNA". It matches the Rfam family "Bacterial small subunit ribosomal RNA", at positions 29 to 507 of the family's 1533-position model. The record is from RNAcentral.